GAACUGAAGAGUUUGAUCAUGGCUCAGAUUGAACGCUGGCGGCAGGCCUAACACAUGCAAGUCGAGCGGAUGAAGGGAGCUUGCUCCUGGAUUCAGCGGCGGACGGGUGAGUAAUGCCUAGGAAUCUGCCUGGUAGUGGGGGAUAACGUCCGGAAACGGGCGCUAAUACCGCAUACGUCCUGAGGGAGAAAGUGGGGGAUCUUCGGACCUCACGCUAUCAGAUGAGCCUAGGUCGGAUUAGCUAGUUGGUKGGGUAAAGGCCUACCAAGGCGACGAUCCGUAACUGGUCUGAGAGGAUGAUCAGUCACACUGGAACUGAGACACGGUCCAGACUCCUACGGGAGGCAGCAGUGGGGAAUAUUGGACAAUGGGCGAAAGCCUGAUCCAGCCAUGCCGCGUGUGUGAAGAAGGUCUUCGGAUUGUAAAGCACUUUAAGUUGGGAGGAAGGGCAGUAAGUUAAUACCUUGCUGUUUUGACGUUACCAAC
This 486-nucleotide ribosomal RNA is filed under the name Pseudomonas aeruginosa. RNAcentral's name for it is "bacterial SSU rRNA". It matches the Rfam family "Bacterial small subunit ribosomal RNA", at positions 1 to 482 of the family's 1533-position model. Lineage: Bacteria; Pseudomonadati; Pseudomonadota; Gammaproteobacteria; Pseudomonadales; Pseudomonadaceae. The record is from RNAcentral.